AUAUUAGUAAUGGGCGAAAGCCUGCACUAGCAACGCCGCGUGUGCGAAGAAGGCCUUCGGGUUGUAAAGCACUUUUUGAGAGGAUGAGGAAGGACGGUACUCUCAGAAUAAGUCUCGGCUAACUACGUGCCAGCAGCCGCGGUAACACGUAGGAGGCGAACGUUAUUCGGAUUUACUGGGCGUAAAGCGCGUUAAGGUGGUUUGGUAAGUAGUGCGUGAAAGCUCCUGGCUGAACUGGGAGAGGCCGUUCUAAACUGCCGAAC
RNAcentral lists this ribosomal RNA (263 nucleotides) under uncultured bacterium. Its description in RNAcentral is "partial 16S ribosomal RNA". It matches the Rfam family "Bacterial small subunit ribosomal RNA", at positions 359 to 641 of the family's 1533-position model. The record is from RNAcentral.